Rosa chinensis is the source of this 889-nucleotide long non-coding RNA. RefSeq lists it as uncharacterized. The transcript has 2 exons. The record is from RefSeq and is a predicted model, not a curated record. Lineage: Eukaryota; Viridiplantae; Streptophyta; Magnoliopsida; Rosales; Rosaceae.
UUCUCUCUUUCACUCUGGAAAGCUCGACUUCCGGCCAUCGACUUUUGGCACCGCCACCAUCACCACCACCACCACCAAAAGAUAGCCUAGUUCUAGUUUUGAUUUGGCUAUCAGAUAAUCCUUCUCUCUCUUCUUUAUCAGAUUUCAAAACCAAAACGAAGAAGAAGCCCUCGUCAAAAUGACAAAACCUAAACUGAAGUCGCCAUCUCUCUCUCUCUCUCUCGGGCACGGGCCCUCUCCCUCUCAGCCUCUAUCCUCGACGGUUCGAUUUCUUUUACAACAAAAAGAAUGACUAGAGCUUUUGGGAACCCAUUAAUCCGACACAAGUUAAUUGAGGCUAUCCAGUUCAAAAGAUAAACAAGCUCAAGCGCUCUGGUUUUGUUAACUGUGCUGAGAAGGCUAGGAGUGAAGGGCGUGGAGAUAAAGAAACCAGAGCAGCUCAAAACCAUGGCCUCACUCAUAAUCCCUGGAGGAGAGAGCACCACCAUGGCUAAGCUUGCCGAGAACCACAACCUGGUCUUUCUAUCACUCACCCAAACAGUCUCUAUUAUUUGUUGAUUUGUUUAAAGCUUUUUACUUUAUUACUCCCGGGCUCAAUAUGUAUAUGCAUGCUUCUGCAAUUGUCGAUACUUUUAGUAUAUCAGUAAAUGGGGAGAUUAGAUGAAAAUGAGGACUGUUCUAGAAAUGGUGUAAUUUGGCUAUAUGGGUUUUGUUCUUUGGUGCUUUGGGUAUAUAGGAGUGGUGGAAUUGUGAACUAUAUCGGCUUGCCUAAUAUAAUCACAAAUGACACAGGAGGUAAAGGAAAUGAAGUAGAUUAUAGCAUUAUUUGAACAUCCUAGUUCAUUUUGUUGUAGUUAGAAUUUGAUUAGAAAAAAAAAAAAAAAAAAAA